RNAcentral lists this transfer RNA (75 nucleotides) under Butyrivibrio sp. Its description in RNAcentral is "tRNA-Trp". It matches the Rfam family "tRNA". From Rfam's summary of the family: Transfer RNA (tRNA) molecules are approximately 80 nucleotides in length. Their secondary structure includes four short double-helical elements and three loops (D, anti-codon, and T loops). Lineage: Bacteria; Bacillati; Bacillota; Clostridia; Lachnospirales; Lachnospiraceae. RNAcentral also lists the same sequence under 4 other names. The record is from RNAcentral.
AGGGGAAUCAUACAAUGGCUAGUAUGCCGGUCUCCAAAACCGCUCAUGCGGGUUCGAAUCCUGCUUCCCCUGCUA